Long non-coding RNA from Oncorhynchus tshawytscha (Chinook salmon), 312 nucleotides. Lineage: Eukaryota; Metazoa; Chordata; Actinopteri; Salmoniformes; Salmonidae. The record is from Ensembl.
GGAGACCGGGGACAGUUCUGUAGGGGAGACCGGGGACAGUUCUGUAGGGGAGACUGGGGACAGUUCUGUAGGGGAGACUGGGGACAUUCUGUAGGGGAGACCGGGGACAGUUCUGUAGGGGAGACUGGGGACAGUUCUGUAGGGGAGACUGGGGACAGUUCUGUAGGGAGACCGGGGACAGUUCUGUAGGGGAGACUGGGGACAGUUCUGUAGGGGAGACCGGGGACAUUCUGUAGGGGAGACCGGGGACAGUUCUGUAGGGGAGACUGGGGACAGUUCUGUAGGGGAGACCGGGGACAGUUCUGUAGGGGA